GUGUAUCCGUUGGGGUGCCCGUUCAGGGCUGAGAGGCGAUGCGCCAACCCACCGAACCUGAUCCGGCUCGCACCGGCGUAGGGAACGGAGACCGCGCAACC
Molecule: non-coding RNA, 101 nt
Filed under: Roseovarius azorensis
Lineage: Bacteria; Pseudomonadati; Pseudomonadota; Alphaproteobacteria; Rhodobacterales; Roseobacteraceae
Description: TPP sequence
Rfam family: TPP riboswitch aptamer (THI element)
About the family: Vitamin B(1) in its active form thiamin pyrophosphate (TPP) is an essential coenzyme that is synthesised by coupling of pyrimidine and thiazole moieties in bacteria. The previously detected thiamin-regulatory element, thi box was extended, resulting in a new, highly conserved RNA secondary structure, the THI element, which is widely distributed in eubacteria and also occurs in some archaea.
Source: Rfam by way of RNAcentral